This is a long non-coding RNA of Bombus terrestris (buff-tailed bumblebee), 966 nucleotides long. RefSeq lists it as uncharacterized. The record is from RefSeq and is a predicted model, not a curated record. Lineage: Eukaryota; Metazoa; Arthropoda; Insecta; Hymenoptera; Apidae. The transcript has 2 exons.
CGUGCCAAGUGUUCGUGCAUCUUUCCACUUCUCCCAUUAACAACAUAGAGCCUCGAUCCACGAGGAAAGAAAUUACGACUUGACAGCUAUACCAUAAAUAUGGCGUUUGAAAUAAUUAGCAGAUGCAGCGUUGUUGGAUGAUACACGCGGCAAACAAAUAUCGGGGAUGCGAAAAAUAAGAUGGAAAAGCGGCGCGAACAAAUAAUACGGGAUGAAGAAAACGAGAUAAAACCCCAUGAAACGAAAAGACGAUAGAAGAAAGCCAUCCGCGAAGCCGACAUCUCCUCGCUUCAGCUUUACGUCUUCCGUUGACUGGCCUGAAGAAUCCCGCUUUCACGUCGAAAGUCUUCUUAACGAGAGUAAAGAAGAAAAAGAGCUGGCACGAGAUGGAGAAUAUCCUUCGAGUACCUAAUAGCUUUUUACGCCUUAUUACUUAUCAUUACAGCUAGCAUAAUAACGAUCGACCUUGGAAAGAAAUAUGUACUAGCUCGAUAAGAUCACGCGAUUAUCAAUGAUGCAAUGGACCAACCAACUUCAGUUCGUGAUAAAGUUUUCCGGCAAAUAUAUCGAGACGCGAAAAAUAAAUAUGUACCGAUAUAUUUCGUUUAAGGAAGAGUUAUGCUAUAAAUUAAGCGCGAGAAACCCACAAAGAUUUUAGCAUUUGGGAAAUUUGGUAUAUAACUAAAUAUCAUAAACUAGAAUUCCUCGACAAUGGUAUUUGCCUAAGUCUGAUUAAGCUUCCUUAAUCUCUUAGCCAUUGCGGGGUUGAUUCCAGGAGUCGCGAAACAAUUCAGAGAUACAAUGCUAACAGAGAAUACCUUCUGAUCAUUUUACGUGUUAAAUUCAGUCUACAGUUGGCAAAAAAUACACACCGAACAUAGGCGACAUUCGCAAUGCAAACAACGCUAAUCUAAGCACAUAUAUGGGCUCGUUCUUUAGCAAAUAUAAUAAACAUGUUAUAUAAUA